AUAAGUGCAUUAAAUGAAAUGGAAUGUACCAAUCAACAAGUGUUGAUCAAUGACAUUGAGGAUCAUGGUCAAACAAUUAAAAACAGAAGUGAGAUGAAGAUUGGAAAUCAAGAAAUGAAUAAAAAUGUUUUUAGCAUUUUUAAUAUUCAAAAUAAACUUGAAUUAAUCUCAAAUCAAUUAAAAAAUUGAUGAGAAUAUUUUUCAUAGAACCAUCAUCAUUCAAAUAGGUUGGGAAAAUAUUU
Molecule: long non-coding RNA, 242 nt
Filed under: Lathyrus oleraceus (garden pea)
Lineage: Eukaryota; Viridiplantae; Streptophyta; Magnoliopsida; Fabales; Fabaceae
Description: Pisum sativum (pea) long non-coding RNA (PSAT_LNC036233)
Source: RNAcentral